GAUGAACGCUGGCGGCGUGCUUAACACAUGCAAGUCGAACGAAGCACUUUAUUUGAUUUCCUUCGGGACUGAUUAUUUUGUGACUGAGUGGCGGACGGGUGAGUAACGCGUGGGUAACCUGCCUUGUACAGGGGGAUAACAGUUGGAAACGGCUGCUAAUACCGCAUAAGCGCACAGCAUCGCAUGAUGCAGUGUGAAAAACUCCGGUGGUAUAAGAUGGACCCGCGUUGGAUUAGCUAGUUGGUGAGGUAACGGCCCACCAAGGCGACGAUCCAUAGCCGACCUGAGAGGGUGACCGGCCACAUUGGGACUGAGACACGGCCCAAACUCCUACGGGAGGCAGCAGUGGGGGAAUAUUGCACAAUGGGGCGAAAGCCUGAUGCAGCGACGCCGCGGAAGCGAAGAAGUAUUUCGGUAUGUAAAGCUCUAUCAGCAGGGAAGAUAAUGACGGUACCUGAUUAAGAAGCACCGGCUAAAUACGUGCCAGCAGCCGCGGUAAUACGUAUGGUGCAAGCGUUAUCCGGAUUUACUGGGUGUAAAGGGAGCGCAGGCGGUGCGGCAAGUCUGAUGUGAAAGCCCGGGGCUCAACCCCGGUACUGCAUUGGAAACUGUCGUACUAGAGUGUCGGAGGGGUAAGCGGAAUUCCUAGUGUAGCGGUGAAAUGCGUAGAUAUUAGGAGGAACACCAGUGGCGAAGGCGGCUUACUGGACGAUAACUGACGCUGAGGCUCGAAAGCGUGGGGAGCAAACAGGAUUAGAUACCCUGGUAGUCCACG
RNAcentral lists this ribosomal RNA (775 nucleotides) under uncultured bacterium. Its description in RNAcentral is "bacterial SSU rRNA". It matches the Rfam family "Bacterial small subunit ribosomal RNA", at positions 28 to 799 of the family's 1533-position model. The record is from RNAcentral.